UGAUCUCUUGCAGAACCCUCAGCGACCUCUCAUUGGACCCUAGGGUUCCGUAGAUCCCCGGUUGAGAAACCCUGCUCCAGGUCAUCUGCUGGACUGGGGAUCAUUUCCAACUAGGAAGUUAUUUGUGAGCACUAAACCUGUGAAAUGCCCAUUCUUUUGAAGACCCUGACCUGGAGUUACACGCUGACUAUGGUUCUUUGCGGGAAUGGGACCUGCUAUCGGGGUUCCACAAUCGGCCGCUAUUCGGCAUGCCAAAGUCUCGGCCUAAGGUUUCGACGCGGAUUCAGAUGCCUAGGAUCUCUUGCGACUGGAAGCGGGCGAAUCAAGGGUUGGUGUCACCACAGGAAACCCAUGUGUCAUGGGGGAGUCGGAUCAUCUGCUGUGUGCCUGGGGAUCGGGGAUCCGUUUGAUCUCCAGGCAUAGAGCACGGAAAAAGUGACGUAAUGGACUUUUAACAUCGUAAACCAGCGAGUUGUUUGUUAUGUCUCCCCGCUUGCUGGAAUGGAAUGUAGUCACCUCUUUCUCCCCUACUGGGAGAGAGAGAGCCUGUGGCAUGUCGAACUAUCGGGUGAACAAUGUAGUCUUUGGGGUACUGUAACUGCAAGCCUGCUAUGUGAUGCUGGAGGAUUGGUAUGCUUUCAAAACCCAAUAGAAGGGAGCUAAAAAAAACAUAAGGAGAGAAAAGAUAAAAUAUGAAGAUAUAUAGAGAGUGAAAGAUCACCGAGAGUGGAUAUCGGACUGCUGGAAAACGACACUGAAGAUGUAGUAAUGGACUCAAAGAAAUGGGGGACGAACUUAUGAAAUACUUUGUGUCAGUCUUCACUGUUGCAGAAAUUUGAGUACCAGGGGACAGAAAUGAAUGUCCUUGCUAUUACUCAGAAGAAUUUGCUCGAGAAGCUGAAGGGUAUAUCUGUCACCUGUACCCAAUGCACGACACCCCAGUGUUCUGAAAGAGUGCCUGCUCCUUUCUGGUUUAAAAUCCAGUAUCCAGUUACGUGCAAUUGAGAACUUCACAAUUUGAACUACAGUGAUCUCACCAAAGUUGUUUAUGGAGGUAAGGGUGAAUAUUGGCUCUCCUUUCCCACCUCAACUGUCAUAUUGACAUUUUGUUUCACACUUCAAUUCCCAACCUAAUUUGGUCACAAUGAUUUAUUUGAUAUUCAUUGAUACAAAUACAAAUAUGGCGGGAGGAGACGAUGGCGGCGCGACGCAGCUCGCAGCGGCCACUCCGAUGGUGAUGUCUGUUAUUUAUCAAGUAUGGUGCCAUGCACAAUCCUGAUUUGAUGGAGACGGACGUGAGAGCACGGAGGAACAUCUGGAGAAACUUCUGAAAUGCCUGCUUUGCUGCUGCUGCUACUGUGUGGUCCAGAAUCUCUGGAGGAGAAGGCCCUGAGUCCUCGGCUUUGCUUGUUGCUUGGCAGCCAGGGUAGGGUCGAAGCACUCAGCAGAGGAUGGUGCUCGGAGAGGCUGUUCGGAGGCUCGAAGUUUUCAGAUGGACUCAGAGUUGGCUGCAGUUGAGUGCUUCCAAUGCAUCGGCAAGCUGUUGGCGCUUGGAGGUUCAUGGCAGGGAGAGUUUCUCCCUUCUGCCGCCUGCGUUAGAUGAUGAGUUGAUCGGGGACUUUGAGACUUUAUUUUACCAUGCCCAUGGUCUGCUCUUUAUCAAAUUAUG
Molecule: long non-coding RNA, 1669 nt
Organism: Mobula hypostoma (lesser devil ray)
Lineage: Eukaryota; Metazoa; Chordata; Chondrichthyes; Myliobatiformes; Myliobatidae
Exons: 4
Source: RefSeq, a predicted model, not a curated record